RNAcentral lists this long non-coding RNA (2020 nucleotides) under Rattus norvegicus (Norway rat). RNAcentral's name for it is "long non-coding RNA NONRATT006346". The record is from RNAcentral. Lineage: Eukaryota; Metazoa; Chordata; Mammalia; Rodentia; Muridae.
UCCCCACCCCCACGAGGGCCGCGGCCGUGGGGCGCUGGUAGCUCUCCCGCCCUUCCGCCCUGCACCCCUCCCGCCCUGGGGCUCCUUCUUGGACUGCGGCUGCAGCCUUCUCUCCCCGGAGGGCUCAGAGUUCGUCCCCUUUUCGCGGUUGGGAACGUGGACACGCCGGAGCCUGGAUGCAGAAGGGCACGCGGAAGCAUGAAGCUGCUGCGCGAGCCGCAGCCCAGAGUCCAGGCCGCACCACUCUGCUGAUCCUAAGGACUACGGAAACCCUGCGCGCCGACGGUGGCCUGGGAGUUGGCGCGGGCCUCAGCGCUAGAAAACGAAUCCCACUCCCAGAAAGGCGGGCCGCACAUCCCGCUUCUGCCUCCUGGAGAAUUAGUUCGGCGGAGUCCGUGGCCGGGGAGGGAGGGAGAGUCAGGCCUUGGGGCGACUAAUCGGGUAGGGAGUAGCUUCUGGGGCGCUCCCUUGCCUACGGAAGGCCGGCGAGGCUGCCCUCAGAGCGCCGCCAGGUACGUGCGUUUUCCUUGUUUCCCGCGCGCCCAGAGCGCACUCUGGGGAGAGAAUGAAUAAAAACCCAGCUGGUGUGUAGGAGAUUUUCGCAGCAAACGUGUCCCUUUCUGAGGGGUCCUGGGACGGCAGCCGAACUCGGGGUAGCCCCUGCGCUGUGUCCUGGAAUCCCUACUGGGCUCUCCACCACCCGCAGGAUCCGGCUUGGAGCCAGUCCCCGUGGAAAUGCGCGUCGCUUUAUUCUAAGGCCCACGAAAUUUACCCCGGACGCGGUGGGUACCACAACAGGAUGGCUCUGUUUCCUAGUGGUUCCUGCAGUUAUCCCCUAACCUGAAAACCUAGAAUUCCUGUUUUCUGAACCGGUAUGUUUACUUUAGGGAAACCCGGGCUUGGCUCCUGCUGCUCUCCGGGUGUCCAGGAACGAAUCCCUCCGGGAUCCGGGAACUCCAGAUUUGCGGGGUUAGGAGAUACCCUCAGCGGACUGAGUUGUGGUUUUUUUGUUGGUGGUGGUUUGUUAUUUUUCAGCAUCAGAAGAGCCUGAUAGUUGAACUGGAGCGGGCCCCGUCCCCUCCCCCAUACCCACUUCAAACAAAAGAGCUCCUCCGAGAAUAUUUUUUAGGGGGAGAGUGCUUCUGAAUGUGGACCCGUAGUUCUCCCCGCCCCCCGUUCCUAGGAAGGACAAGGGUUUUAUAUGUGUGUUUAAAACAAAGGGGAAUCUUGGCGCGAGUUGCCGGGAAAGGGGCGCUUUUAUUUCGGAGUUCUUGAAGAAUUCACAUUCUUUUCUCCCAAGUUUGCUGCAGCUGAGCCAGAAGUGUCCCCACUGGCUUACCCGAUAGUGAGAUGUUACACGGUGUCGGCUGAGUGUGGCUUUGUGAGAAGAUCGUUUCAGAAGAGGAAACGAGCCUCUGGCUGGUGGGGUAGAAACCCCUGUGGAAUGAAAAGUACUCCCAAGUCUCUUUGCGGAAGAUUGCAAAGUAAGGUGGGUUGUUUUUCUUUUGUUCCAUCCUUCCCACCCCUUAAGUUAGAACAAAAGGUUUCCAAGCGUACAGCGCCGGGUGGACGUUUGGAAGCUGCGAGUGGAAUGAAUCUCUCGUUUAAAAACUUCGGGACCCCCACGCACACCAAGUGUCUAUCUCCGUCGUAGUUUGGGUGAGGAAGAAUGUGACUUUCCGAGUCGGGUAGAGCACGGAUCCCACGAUGGAGAGAAGGUCCCGGCGGGGGGAAGGCCCCUCUUUCUAGGACAAAGCGAUCCUUAAUUGUGGCCAGAGUCCCGGGCGAAUUCGCUGCGCGCGUCUGUCUGCCCGCGCGGCGCUUGGUGGGUAGUCCCGCUUCCACCAAAACUCUGUAUUUCGUUUCUCUCAAAAUAAAACUCAACAAGCCAUAAAGCUUCCGACGCCGGUGGAGAAGGCGCCGCGGAUUUAUGGCCCCCGAAUUCCCCACUCUCUAAUUAUCCUUGUGUUUACUUGACUUAUGGGUAGUGACCAAUAAAAUCAUUUUCCAUUUUGGAUUU